Molecule: ribosomal RNA, 247 nt
Filed under: uncultured bacterium
Lineage: Bacteria
Description: partial 16S ribosomal RNA
Rfam family: Bacterial small subunit ribosomal RNA
Source: RNAcentral
GACGAACGCUGGCGGCAUGCCUAACACAUGCAAGUCGAACGAGACCUUCGGGUCUAGUGGCGCACGGGUGCGUAACGCGUGGGAAUCUGCCCUCUGGUACGGAAUAACUCAGGGAAACUUGAGCUAAUACCGUAUAAUGACUUCGGUCCAAAGAUUUAUCGCCUGAGGAUGAGCCCGCGUAGGAUUAGCUUGUUGGUGAGGUAAAAGCUCACCAAGGCGACGAUCCUAGCUGGUCUGAGAGGAUGAU